CAAGUCGCGCUCCCCCUCGGCCGCCCCUCCCGCCACGCCGGCCGAGAGCGCCGAGCUGAAUCAGAGCUCGGAGAUGGGCCCUGCCGCCACUGCAUCCGAGGAAGUCGCUUCUACGGUUGAGUCAGAGGCCUAGGAAAUGGGAUUGCUUUCUCUUAUAUCUCCUCUCAAGAUUUCGAUUGGAGCUUGUCAUUCUGCAUCACGUUACCAGCCAGGAUGAGAAAGAAAAGUUUCCCUCUGAAGCUGCUGAAGUUAAGGACAGUGAUAAUUCUUGAUCUUGUCAUUAGCAAGGGGCCCUAGUGGUAACAUUUUAAUAUUCCAUAGAUGAUCGAUGUGUAAGAGUAAGCCAUACAACUUGAUGGUCAAAUCAAUGUUUUCCUCCUUUGGUGUUCUUAGUGUCUCCUGCUUGGGAGUUGAGUGAGGCACAUUUGGUAUAUUUUUAUUGCCAGCAGCUCAUUUUCUUUGACCAAACACCUCUUGUUGCAUCGCAGUCGAUAAACCUGAAGUGACAUUCACACUAAACAGAAUAAGCUUGUUUUCA
Punica granatum (pomegranate) is the source of this 538-nucleotide non-coding RNA. Lineage: Eukaryota; Viridiplantae; Streptophyta; Magnoliopsida; Myrtales; Lythraceae. The record is from RefSeq and is a predicted model, not a curated record.